Molecule: long non-coding RNA, 490 nt
Organism: Lotus japonicus
Lineage: Eukaryota; Viridiplantae; Streptophyta; Magnoliopsida; Fabales; Fabaceae
Exons: 3
Source: RefSeq, a predicted model, not a curated record
GUGACCUGUUCCCUUUGCAAUGAUUUUGUUUGCUUGUUCUACUUAAAACACACUAUACAUUUGAUAUAUGUGCUAUGUUACACAAUGUGAAUCUUUGAGGGUUUGCUAAUAUACUAACGUAUUCUAUUGAUUCUGCAGUGUGUUUGGGUUGUUUAAUGUGCCUCCCAAGUGGUAUUCAUUCUUUUUGUUGGUAGUAUUCCAGCUUCUCAUUCAAAAUGUCUCACUACUUGGACACCUUUGUGGCAUUUUAUCUGGGUUUGCAUAUACAUAUGGCUUGUUUAAUUUCCUCAUACCUAGGACAUCUUUUUAUUCUUCCAUUGAAGCCUCUUCCUUGCUUGUAAGUAUCUUUCUGGAAUUGGCUUUGGUACUGCACAAAGAUGAGAAAACUUGCAUUUGAUUGCUUUCUAUAUCCUCUUGCUGUUAUCAUUAGACUUGAUUCAUAUACAUAUCAAAUCACAUUUAUAAAUUGUACUUUUGAUCUGUUUAUAAA